GUUCAGGGCUUUCAGUUUCAUAUUUCAGGAGGGAUUUUGUCAAUGAGGAUUAAUACAAAGCUCGGCUUUGAGAGAGGUUUGAGUUUCCUGCCUGAUGAUCAGAGCCAGAAGCACAGGUCUCCAGGAAAUGCCACCACUGGAUAGAGAGCCACACGCUGCUUCCUAUCAUACGUCUACCUGGACCUAACUCAGGAAGAAACAUACACUUCCUACAUUUUAUCCCAUAAGCAAAGCAACUUCUGUAGAACUGCCCAUGGAGAUUUUGUCUUAACUUCAAAAAGUGCUUCUCCUAAUUUAUUUUCUGUUGCACGGUAUCAAGAAGCACCUGUGGAAAAAAAGGAUUCAAAAGAAGAAAACCAUAACCAUCUUACAAGUUUUUGCAUUGCUGAAGACUGACGACUUCACCCAGACCCACCAACUGGUCCUGGGACCCCCACCCAGGAACCCAUUCAGUGCAGGAGGACAGCUUCAGCUCCCUGUGUCUUCACGUGUGACCCAAUUGAUCAGCACUUCCCUCUUCCUGGCCCCCUACUGACCAAACUAUCCUUUAAAAACCCUAGUCACUGAGUUUCCAGGGAGACUAAUUUGACUAAUAAUAAAACUGGUCUCCCAUUCA
This 616-nucleotide long non-coding RNA is filed under the name Homo sapiens (human). Its description in RNAcentral is "HSALNT0372227". Lineage: Eukaryota; Metazoa; Chordata; Mammalia; Primates; Hominidae. The record is from RNAcentral.